RNAcentral lists this long non-coding RNA (348 nucleotides) under Pan troglodytes (chimpanzee). RNAcentral describes it as "lincRNA". The record is from RNAcentral. Lineage: Eukaryota; Metazoa; Chordata; Mammalia; Primates; Hominidae.
GGAUUUACGCGCACGUUGGAACCGAAGAGAGCUCUGUUGUUGCAAUGUUCAGCCCACAAGACCUUACUGGUGAAGGAAUGGGACAAGACCCAUCUUUAUGCAAAGCCAGCGUUACAGUAAUGUCCCAGGUAUUCCUGAUGACAGUCUGCCUUCUAUCUUACAGUACUACUAACCAAUAACCUGCUUGGCUCAAAGGGCCAGCACCUUCUCUCUAAAGCCCAAGAGGAGUUUGAGGAAAACUAGGUGUCUGUGUUCACUCCAGGCUGAAGUUACAGGAAUCUGUCUUGGAGGACAUCGGAAGGUGAAUUUUCCAAGUCCUUGGACAACCUAGCUGUUGAAAAGCUUUCU